This 384-nucleotide ribosomal RNA is filed under the name Pontogammarus borceae. Its description in RNAcentral is "partial 16S ribosomal RNA". The stretch from base 240 to 384 matches the Rfam family "Bacterial large subunit ribosomal RNA", at positions 2473 to 2619 of the family's 2925-position model. The record is from RNAcentral. Lineage: Eukaryota; Metazoa; Arthropoda; Malacostraca; Amphipoda; Pontogammaridae.
UUGGAAACUAGUAUGAACGGUUUAAUUAACCGAAUUAGUUUGGUUUUUUUUAUGAUAGAUUAAACAUAAGGUAAGAAUUCUUUAAUAGAUUGCGGGACGAUAAGACCCUAAAAGCUUUAUAAUUAGUGAAUAACUAGUGGUAUUAGACAAAUUAAUUUACUGGGGCAGUGAUUUAAUAUAAAUUUAAAUAAAAAUAAAAGGUCCUUAAAAUAAAGAUUUUAUGUGCUAGUUACUUUAGGGAUAACAGUGUUAUAUAUUUGGAGAGACCAGAUCUAUAAAUAUGUUUGCAACCUCGAUGUUGAAUUAGAAUUUCUACAUGGGCAGAAUAUUUGUGAGAGAGUUUGUUCAACUUUUAAAUUUCUACAUGAUCUGAGUUCAAACCGG